AAAAAUCUAACAAAGGUCUAAUCAAAUCACCCUUCCUACUGGAGGUAAUGAAAGUCAGGCCGUCCCUCUCUAAUCAGUCAACGUUGCUAUUCCAUCCGUUCAACAGCGUCAAGGUUGAGGUGUCGACUGUUCCCACCUUCACCUCAUCUGCCAUGACCAGUCUGCGGGGACACCGGCAACUACACGGAGAACGGCUCGUCUCCACCGAAACCCGCCCGGAACGCUUCCUCCUCGUCCUCGGCGUUCCCU
This 249-nucleotide long non-coding RNA is filed under the name Setaria italica (foxtail millet). RNAcentral's name for it is "long non-coding RNA (SITA_LNC001583)". The record is from RNAcentral. Lineage: Eukaryota; Viridiplantae; Streptophyta; Magnoliopsida; Poales; Poaceae.